UGGGGAAUAUUGGACAAUGGGCGCAAGCCUGAUCCAGCCAUGCCGCGUGAGUGAUGAAGGCCCUAGGGUUGUAAAGCUCUUUCACCGGUGAAGAUAAUGACGGUAACCGGAGAAGAAGCCCCGGCUAACUUCGUGCCAGCAGCCGCGGUAAUACGAAGGGGGCUAGCGUUGUUCGGAUUUACUGGGCGUAAAGCGCACGUAGGCGGACUUUUAAGUCAGGGGUGAAAUCCCGGGGCUCAACCCCGGAACUGCCUUUGAUACUGGAAGUCUUGAGUAUGGUAGAGGUGAGUGGAAUUUCGAGUGUAGAGGUGAAAUUCGUAGAUAUUCGGAGGAACACCAGUGGCGAAGGCGGCUCACUGGACCAUUACUGACGCUGAGGUGCGAAAGCGUGGGGAGCAAACAGG
This 404-nucleotide ribosomal RNA is filed under the name Actinomycetes bacterium. RNAcentral's name for it is "Actinobacteria bacterium partial 16S ribosomal RNA". It matches the Rfam family "Bacterial small subunit ribosomal RNA", at positions 355 to 776 of the family's 1533-position model. Lineage: Bacteria; Bacillati; Actinomycetota; Actinomycetes. The record is from RNAcentral.